This 438-nucleotide ribosomal RNA is filed under the name uncultured bacterium. RNAcentral's name for it is "bacterial LSU rRNA". It matches the Rfam family "Bacterial large subunit ribosomal RNA", at positions 808 to 1252 of the family's 2925-position model. The record is from RNAcentral.
GCUGUGGAUAGGGGUGAAAGGCUAAACAAAUCCGGAAAUAGCUGGUUCUCCCCGAAAACUAUUUAGGUAGUGCGUCUUAUAUCACUGACGGGGUAAAGCACUGUUAUGGCUAGGGGUCAUCGCGACUUACCAAACCAUGGCAAACUCUGAAUACCGUCAAGUGCGAGUAAGGCAGACAGACAGUGGGUGCUAACGUCCAUUGUCAAGAGGGAAACAACCCAGACCGCCAGCUAAGGUCCCCAAGACACAGUUAAGUGGGAAACGAAGUGGGAAGGCAUAGACAGCUAGGAGGUUGGCUUAGAAGCAGCCACCCUUUAAAGAAAGCGUAAUAGCUCACUAGUCGAGUCGUCCUGCGCGGAAGAUGUAACGGGGCUCAAACUGUGCACCGAAGCUGCGGAUAUCGAAAGAUAUGGUAGGGGAGCGUUCUGUAGGUCUGUG